GAUGAACGCUAGCGGCAGGCUUAACACAUGCAAGUCGAGGGGCAGCAUGGGACGGAGAUUCGUCGAAGUCCUGAUGGCGACCGGCGGAAGGGUGCGUAACGCGUGAGCAACUUUCCCGUAUCAGGGGGAUAACCGGUGGAAACGCCGACUAAUACCCCAUAACAACAGGGCAGGCAUCUGCUUUGUUUGAAAGCUACGGUGGAUACGGAUAGGCUCGCGAGACAUUAGCUAGUUGGAGUGGUAACGGCACACCAAGGCGACGAUGUCUAGGGGUUCUGAGAGGAAGGUCCCCCCACACUGGAACUGAGACACGGUCCAGACUCCUACGGGAGGCAGCAGUGAGGAAUAUUGGUCAAUGGGCGGAAGCCUGAACCAGCCAUGCCGCGUGAAGGAUGACGGCCCUAUGGGUUGUAAACUGCUUUUAUAAGGGAAUAAAGUGAGCCUCGUGAGACUUUUUGCAUGUACCUUAUGAAUAAGGACCGGCUAAUCCGUGCCAGCAGCCGACGG
RNAcentral lists this ribosomal RNA (507 nucleotides) under uncultured bacterium. RNAcentral describes it as "bacterial SSU rRNA". It matches the Rfam family "Bacterial small subunit ribosomal RNA", at positions 28 to 520 of the family's 1533-position model. The record is from RNAcentral.